GACGAACGCUGGCGGCGUGCUUAACACAUGCAAGUCGAACGGAAAGGCCCUGCCUUUGUGGGGUGCUCGAGUGGCGAACGGGUGAGUAACACGUGAGUAACCUGCCCUUGACUUUGGGAUAACUUCAGGAAACUGGGGCUAAUACCGGAUAGGAGCUCCUGCUGCAUGGUGGGGGUUGGAAAGUUUCGGCGGUUGGGGAUGGACUCGCGGCUUAUCAGCUUGUUGGUGGGGUAGUGGCUUACCAAGGCUUUGACGGGUAGCCGGCCUGAGAGGGUGACCGGCCACAUUGGGACUGAGAUACGGCCCAGACUCCUACGGGAGGCAGCAGUGGGGAAUAUUGCACAAUGGGCGGAAGCCUGAUGCAGCAACGCCGCGUGCGGGAUGAUGGCCUUCGGGUUGUAAACCGCUUUCGCCUGUGACGAAGCGUGAGUGACGGUAAUGGGUAAAGAAGCACCGGCUAACUACGUG
This 468-nucleotide ribosomal RNA is filed under the name uncultured bacterium. RNAcentral describes it as "partial 16S ribosomal RNA". It matches the Rfam family "Bacterial small subunit ribosomal RNA", at positions 28 to 507 of the family's 1533-position model. The record is from RNAcentral.